Molecule: ribosomal RNA, 90 nt
Filed under: Arthrobacter sp. EpRS71
Lineage: Bacteria; Bacillati; Actinomycetota; Actinomycetes; Micrococcales; Micrococcaceae
Source: RNAcentral
UGGGGGAAACGCCCGGUCCCAUUCCGAACCCGGAAGCUAAGACCCACAGCGCCGAUGGUACUGCACCCGGGAGGGUGUGGGAGAGUAGGA